CAAUAAGCGGAGGAAAAGAAACCAACAGGGAUUGCCCCAGUAACGGCGAGUGAAGCGGCAACAGCUCAAAUUUGAAAUCCGGCCCCCGGGGCCCGAGUUGUAAUUUGCAGAGGAUGCUUUUGGCGAGGUGCCUUCCGAGUUCCCUGGAACGGGACGCCAUAGAGGGUGAGAGCCCCGUCUGGUUGGACACCGAGCCUCUGUAAAGCUCCUUCGACGAGUCGAGUAGUUUGGGAAUGCUGCUCUAAAUGGGAGGUAUAUGUCUUCUAAAGCUAAAUACCGGCCAGAGACCGAUAGCGCACAAGUAGAGUGAUCGAAAGAUGAAAAGCACUUUGAAAAGAGGGUUAAAUAGUACGUGAAAUUGUUGAAAGGGAAGCGCUUAUGACCAGACUUGGACCCGGUGAAUCAUCCAGCGCUCUCGCCGGUGCACUUUGCCGGGCCCAGGCCAGCAUCAGUUUCCCCCGGGGGAUAAAGGCUCCGGGAAUGUGGCUCCUCCGGGAGUGUUAUAGCCCGCCGCGCAAUACCCUGGGGCGGACUGAGGUUCGCGCAUCUGCAAGGAUGCUGGCGUAAUGGUCAUCAGCGACCCGUCUUGAAACACGGACCAAGGAGUCGUCUUCGUAUGCGAGUGUUUGGGUGUAAAACCCCUGCGCGGAAUGAAAGUGAACGCAGGUGAGAGCUUCGGCGCAUCAUCGACCGAUCCUGAUGUUCUCGGAUGGAUUUGAGUAAGAGCAUACGGGGCCGGACCCGAAAGAAGGUGAACUAUGCCUGUAUAGGGUGAAGCCAGAGGAAACUCUGGUGGAGGCUCGCAGCGGUUCUGACGUGCAAAUCGAUCGUCAAAUAUGGGCAUGGGGGCGAAAGACUAAUCGAACCUUCUAGUAGCUGGUUUC
RNAcentral lists this ribosomal RNA (884 nucleotides) under Dussiella tuberiformis. Its description in RNAcentral is "LSU rRNA". It matches the Rfam family "Eukaryotic large subunit ribosomal RNA", at positions 44 to 958 of the family's 3401-position model. The record is from RNAcentral. Lineage: Eukaryota; Fungi; Ascomycota; Sordariomycetes; Hypocreales.